RNAcentral lists this non-coding RNA (89 nucleotides) under Pelosinus sp. UFO1. RNAcentral describes it as "c-di-GMP-I riboswitch aptamer". It matches the Rfam family "c-di-GMP-I riboswitch aptamer". From Rfam's summary of the family: GEMM was predicted in a large-scale screen for bacterial structured RNA regulatory elements. Genes associated with GEMM are involved in a diverse array of functions, including chemotaxis regulation, signal transduction, secretion and chitin. The record is from Rfam by way of RNAcentral. RNAcentral also lists the same sequence under 1 other name. Lineage: Bacteria; Bacillati; Bacillota; Negativicutes; Selenomonadales; Sporomusaceae.
AGUUAAAUAUGGCAAACCUACCGAAAGAUAGGGACGCAAAGCCAUGGGUCUAAAGAUAGUAAGUAAUCUAAGAUUGCCAGGUUGCUCAA